This 440-nucleotide ribosomal RNA is filed under the name uncultured bacterium. RNAcentral's name for it is "partial 16S ribosomal RNA". It matches the Rfam family "Bacterial small subunit ribosomal RNA", at positions 338 to 795 of the family's 1533-position model. The record is from RNAcentral.
CCUACGGGGAGCAGCAGUGGGGGAUAUUGCACAAUGGGGGGAACCCUGAUGCAGCGACGCCGCGUGGGUGAAGGAGUGCUUCGGCAUGUAAAGCCCUAUCGGCAGGGAAGAAGCAAGACGGUACCUGACGAAGACGCCCCGGCUAACUACGUGCCAGCAGCCGCGGUAAUCCGUAGGGGGCGAGCGUUAUCCGGAUUCACGGGGUGUACAGGGAGCGUAGACGGCCAUGCAAGCCAGGGGUGAAAGCCCGGGGCCCAACCCCGGGACUGCCCUUGGAACUGCAUGGCUGGAGUGCGGGAGGGGCAGGCGGAAUUCCUGGUGUAGCGGUGAAAUGCGUAGAUAUCAGGAGGAACACCGGCGGCGAAGGCGGCCGGCUGGACCGCGACUGACGUUGAGGCUCGAAAGCGUGGGGAGCGAACAGGAUUAGAUACCCUGUAGUC